UAAAAACCCCGACUUCGGAAGGGGUGUAUUUAUUAGAUACAAAACCAAUGCCCUUCGGGGCUCUUUGGUGAUUCAUGAUAACUAUACGAAUCGCACGGCCUUGCGCCGGCGAUGGUUCAUUCAAAUUUCUUCCCUAUCAACUUUCGAUGUUUGGGUAUUGGCCAAACAUGGUUGCAACGGGUAACGGAGGGUUAGGGCUCGACCCCGGAGAAGGAGCCUGAAAAACGGCUACUACAUCCAAGGAAGGCAGCAGGCGCGCAAAUUACCCAAUCCCGACUCGGGGAGGUAGUGACAAUAAAUACUGAUGCAGGGCCCUUUCGGGCCUUGUAAUUGGAAUGAGUACAAUUUAAAUCCCUUAACGAGGAACAAUUGGAGGGCAAGUCUGGUACCAGCAGCCGCGGUAAUUCCAGCUCCAAUAGCGUAUAUUAAAGUUGUUGUGGUUAAAAAGCUCGUAGUUGAACCUUGGGCCUGGCUGGCGGGUCCGCCUCACCGCGUGCACUGGUCCGGCGGGGCCUUUCCCUCUGUGGAACCCCAUACCCUUCACUGGGUGUGGGGGGGGAAACAUGAUAUUUACUU
This 576-nucleotide ribosomal RNA is filed under the name uncultured eukaryote. Its description in RNAcentral is "SSU rRNA". It matches the Rfam family "Eukaryotic small subunit ribosomal RNA", at positions 174 to 757 of the family's 1831-position model. The record is from RNAcentral.